UGUUACUGGGACAAUUGAUGCUG
This 23-nucleotide unclassified non-coding RNA is filed under the name Mus musculus (house mouse). Its description in RNAcentral is "oocyte_clustered_small_RNA6488". The record is from RNAcentral. Lineage: Eukaryota; Metazoa; Chordata; Mammalia; Rodentia; Muridae.